AGAAUUUGAUCUUGGUUCAGGAUGAACGCUGGCGGCGUGCUUGACACAUGUAAGUCGUACGAUCUCUCGUCUUCGGAUUGAGAGAUAGUGGCGAACGGGUGAGUAACACGUUGGUGACCUGCCCCGAAGUGGGGGAUAACGAUGGGAAACCGUCGCUAAUACCGCAUACGCUCUGGAGGGUUAGAGGCCUCCAGUGCAAAGCUCCGGCGCUUCGGGAAGGGGCCUGCGGCCUAUCAGCUAGUUGGUAGGGUAAUGGCCUACCAAGGCUAAGACGGGUAGGGGCGUGAGAGCGUCGGCCCCCCACAAUGGAACUGAGACACGGUCCAUACUCCUACGGGAGGCAGCAGUGAGGAAUAUUGCACAAUGGGGAAACCCUGAUGCAGCAACGCCGCGUGGGUGAUGAAGGCCUUCGGGUCGUAAAACCCUUUUCUGGAGGAAGAGUAAGGACGGUACUCCAGGAAUAAGUCCCGGCUAACUACGUGCCAGCAGCUGC
This 493-nucleotide ribosomal RNA is filed under the name uncultured bacterium. RNAcentral's name for it is "bacterial SSU rRNA". It matches the Rfam family "Bacterial small subunit ribosomal RNA", at positions 8 to 518 of the family's 1533-position model. The record is from RNAcentral.